CCUACGGGAGGCAGCAGUAGGGAAUCUUCCGCAAUGGACGAAAGUCUGACGGAGCAACGCCGCGUGAGCGAAGAAGGCCUUCGGGUCGUAAAGCUCUGUUGUUAGGGAAGAACAAGUAACGUAGUAACUGGCGUUACUAUGACGGUACCUAACGAGAAAGCCACGGCUAACUACGUGCCAGCAGCCGCGGUAAU
RNAcentral lists this ribosomal RNA (194 nucleotides) under uncultured bacterium. Its description in RNAcentral is "partial 16S rRNA". It matches the Rfam family "Bacterial small subunit ribosomal RNA", at positions 338 to 524 of the family's 1533-position model. The record is from RNAcentral.